Molecule: ribosomal RNA, 975 nt
Filed under: Salmonella enterica
Lineage: Bacteria; Pseudomonadati; Pseudomonadota; Gammaproteobacteria; Enterobacterales; Enterobacteriaceae
Description: partial 23S ribosomal RNA
Rfam family: Bacterial large subunit ribosomal RNA
Source: RNAcentral
AAGCAGAGGGGGCUUAGUGGUGGGGUGACUGCGUACCUUUUGUAUAAUGGGUCAGCGACUUAUAUUCUGUAGCAAGGUUAACCGUAUAGGGGAGCCGGAGGGAAACCGAGUCUUAAUUGGGCGUUAAGUUGCAGGGUAUAGACCCGAAACCCGGUGAUCUAGCCAUGGGCAGGUUGAAGGUUGGGUAACACUAACUGGAGGACCGAACCGACUAAUGUUGAAAAAUUAGCGGAUGACCUGUGGCUGGGGGUGAAAGGCCAAUCAAACCGGGAGAUAGCUGGUUCUCCCCGAAAGCUAUUUAGGUAGCGCCUCGUGAAUUCAUCUCCGGGGGUAGAGCACUGUUUCGGCCAGGGGGCCAUCCCGGCUUACCAAUCCGAUGCAAACUGCGAAUACCGGAGAAUGUUAUCACGGGAGACACACGGCGGGUGCUAACGUCCGUCGUGAAGAGGGAAACAACCCAGACCGCCAGCUAAGGUCCCAAAGUCAUGGUUAAGUGGGAAACGAUGUGGGAAGGCCCAGACAGCCAGGAUGUUGGCUUAGAAGCAGCCAUCAUUUAAAGAAAGCGUAAUAGCUCACUGGUCGAGUCGGCCUGCGCGGAAGAUGUAACGGGGCUAAACCAUGCACCGAAGCUGCGGCAGCGACACUGAUGUGUUGUUGGGUAGGGGAGCGUUCUGUAAGCCGUUGAAGGUGGCCUGUGAGGGUUGCUGGAGGUAUCAGAAGUGCGAAUGCUGACAUAAGUAACGAUAAAGCGGGUGAAAAGCCCGCUCGCCGGAAGACCAAGGGUUCCUGUCCAACGUUAAUCGGGGCAGGGUGAGUCGACCCCUAAGGCGAGGCCGAAAGGCGUAGUCGAUGGGAAACGGGUUAAUAUUCCCGUACUUGGUGUUACUGCGAAGGGGGGACGGAGAAGGCUAUGUUGGCCGGGCGACGGUUGUCCCGGUUUAAGCGUGUAGGUGUGUGUUCCAGGUAAAUCCGGUU